GGAAAUAGUCCCUGUGCCCGAGCGGGCCUCAUCACCAGGUGCUGCUGCCCCUCCGCCCGGCUGCCCCGCUGGUGACUAUUGGGAUGGUGGCGGAGUGAUACGGCCUCGGAGGCAGCAGCACAUAAAGGCCCCGCGGAGUGAUGCGGUAGCAGCUGCGGCAGCGAGCAAGAGCCCAGUGGCUGCCGGGGAACAGUGAGGCCCUUCCGCCGCACCGAUACUCCCGCCGCUCCACCUCCCCCCUCCCAAGAGCGCCGCCACCGCCGCGCCCCUCCCCCCGCGAAAUAAUCCCGAGCGAGCUCCCCUCCCUCCCCCACGCCGCCCGAACCGCGCGCCCCCUCCCCGCACCGAGCCCCUCACACACACAAUGGCGCUGAAGAGAAUCCACAAGGAGUUGAAUGACCUGGCACGUGAUCCCCCAGCGCAGUGUUCAGCAGGGCCUGUUGGAGAUGACAUGUUCCAUUGGCAAGCUACAAUAAUGGGACCAAAUGACAGUCCCUAUCAGGGUGGAGUAUUUUUCCUGACAAUUCACUUCCCAACAGAUUACCCCUUCAAACCACCUAAGGUUGCAUUUACAACAAGAAUCUAUCAUCCAAAUAUUAACAGUAAUGGCAGCAUUUGUCUUGAUAUUCUACGGUCACAGUGGUCUCCAGCACUAACUAUUUCAAAAGUACUUUUGUCCAUCUGUUCUCUGUUGUGUGAUCCCAAUCCAGAUGAUCCCUUAGUGCCUGAGAUUGCACGGAUCUACAAAACAGAUAGAGAAAAUUUAAAAGGGAACUUCUUUUCUGAGCAAUUGCUUGAUGAUGAUGAUUGUAAACUAAUUCCCCACCUUGAGCUGUUCCCACUCCAGAACUGAUCAGCAGUUCCCUUACACGACCAUCUAAUGAAGUCAAGACAGCACUUCAGCAACCUGUACAACAGAAUAGCUCGGGAAUGGACUCAGAAGUAUGCGAUGUAAUUAAAGAAAUUAUUGGAUAACCUCUACAAAUAAAGAUAGGGGAACUCUGAAAGAGAAAGUCCUUUUGAUUUCCAUUUGACUGCUUUCUAUGAGCCCACGCCUCAUCUUCCCCUGUGCACAUGUUUACCUGAUACAGCAGUGCUGCGUGUUGUACAUACUUGGAACAACAAAAUAGAAAUACUGUAUUCCCCGUACCAACAUUGACUCCUAGCAAAGAAGUGUGUGUGUGAAAAGCCAGUUCUUCAGUCAUAACUUAGUUGUGAGCCUAAAAGCAUUCCUUAUUGAUUUAAAUUGGGUAAUAAAAUGAGGGGGGAGGAGUGGUGGGUUUCAUCGUUUUCUGGAGACAGUUCACUGACUUGUGGGAGGAUUUUUUUAAAAUGGAAUCCUUUUAAACUCAUAACAGUUAUGGAAAGCCAAGGUGAGGAACUCAAAGCUGUUUCUGUAUUCAUUUUAUUCUGAAGGAUCUACAUCUUAGGUAAAAGUUACAACCAACAAGAUUAACCCGUACCCACAUCCUGUGUUUAAGGUCUAAGUUUAAAUGGUCAACAUUUAAAUGGAUUGGAGCUAUUAGUGCAUCAAGUGACGUUGAUUUAUUUCAACUCUUCUCUCCCCUCCCUCAUACCUUUUUGGUUUGUAUGUGGUUUCUCAGUUAAUACAUAGCUAAUAGCUCUUAUUUUUCUUAAGUUUUUUAACUGCUUAGGUCUUUCUGGAUGUAAGGGUAAAAAUUCAUUUGACAGAAAACUCGUGUAUAUUUAAAGACCCAACUGCUCCCCUGGGGCUUGUACGUUCAAGAAUGAUUAAUCUGUGUAAUAAACUGAUUACUACAGUCAUUACAUAUAACUUUGUGUGAAUAGGCUUUUAAUUUUAAAACCAGUUUGUUACAGGCUAAAAUUAAUGGUGGCUUGUCCUUAAAUGUCUGCAUUCACAAACAGUUGCAUUUCAGAAUCAUGAAGCAAUUCAGUUUGCAUCAGAAAAGGCUAUGAGCCUGGACAAGACAAACGUAAGGUUAAAGCACUUACAUGAACUCAAGAUAUGUCGUGUGCCAGCAACUUGACUGUUAAACCAAAAAAGUAGUUUACUUAAUGAGGAUCUGAGCAACAAAAUUUUACAAAGCCUAGUGGUAUUAUUCCCACUUGCAUGGGACUUAACACAAGGCAUAUGUAGGUAAGUGAAACCUUAUGUAACUAAAGUAAUGGAUGUAAAAGGGUAAAAAUUAUCACACACAUCAGCACAAACGUUCAUAAAAUGUAGGUUUUACAUGCUUACUUUGCACUAAACAUUUGCAAAUGUUCAUAUGGUUUUAAAUUGUACUUGUAUGUGUCUUUUAUUUGAACAAAGUCUUCACUUGAAUUCAGUAAAAAUGUAGUUUGAAAUUUUACUUUGUAAACAAGUGUAUUUGCCAGCAACAUUCAUGUGAAGUAGGUGAGUCUACAAUUUUAUCUCCUUUAGUAUAACUGUAAACCAAGCCAUCAAAAUGAAGGAGAGGCUAUAGUCUCCAGCCACAGGGGUCUGUCCCAUCCAUUUUCAAAUGCAUCUUUACACUCUUGCACAAAUGAGGAAUAAAUGUCCACUGCUUUUGGUCUAAAUUUGUUCCAGUUGUCUCAUCUCUCAAUGUCCUUGGUUAUGCAUCUCUGCAUGUAAAUGUUAGCAGCCUCGAGUUUUCUGUGCAGCGGGCUAUAGGAAAAACUUGCAUAUACAAAUGAGUCUUGAUAGCAGACACAUGGUAACUGCUAUGGUUUACACUUGGAGGUUUUUAUACUUAUUGCAUGAGGGAAAAGCAAAGUUUUCUGAUUAAAAUGGCUCUGAAACGGAGCAGAGCUUCACUUGCAAAGAACUAUAGAAUGUAUGGCCAUAUAUUGAACAGGUGAUGUGCUAAGAAUAUAGAAUGCUUCUUGGAAAAAGUACAGUUAUGUGAAGUAACUUGUACUGGAAGGACAAAUGAACUUGGGAAAGGCUUGCAUUAUUGAAGCAUUCUCUAAGAGCAUAAUUGUAUUUGCCUAUGUUCAUAUAAUAUUAUGGCCAUAGAAAAAUGAGCCGUAAUGGGGGCCUACAGACUGGUUUGAUUCACCUACCAUGCAUAUUGUUACCAGUAAUAAGAUAUAGCUGCAUAGUACAGGAAUUUAAUAACUUGUACCUAAAUUUGCAGCUGUAGUUUAGUAGGAACUUCUGUGCAGUCUAUUUGAACUUCUAACAGUUAUGAUCAGGCCUUAUAUUUAAUAGUAAUUAAAAAAAGCUCCAGUGUUAAAUGCACUGGUACCCUACUGUGGCACUUGGGGAAAGUACAGGGUACUGUGAAGUCACCAGUGCAACUUCCUAUGCCAUGUUUGAUCUUCCUUGCCACCUUCAAUGAUAAGCAUAACUAAACGAUUACUUGCCUUUAACUGCACAUCUGUUUUGAGUAUUGUGUAAAAGUCUCCAUAGUCUGCUGUAAGUGCCAGAGAGUGGAAUAUAUAAUCUAAAUUAAUCUGUUUUUUAUGAAGUCAUGAAGUAAAUUACCAUACUCAUAAGGCCCAAAGUGUGUGUGGUGGGGGAGAGAUUGAGAGGCAAGGGUAGAGGGGAGUGUUAUAAGAAGAGAUGGAGAAACAAAAGGAGCCUGUUUCAAAGCUGUGGAUCAGGCUCUUGCAUGGUCAGUUGCGAUAGAAAGGGUGUCAGAAGUCUGUUCUAGGUAAGAAUAGAUAAGAUCUAAGCUAAAAGCUAAUGCAAAAUGACGGGGGUGUUCCAUCUUCUGCAUAAUUCCAGCUUACACAUGGCUGUCAUCGCUUGUAGUAAAGUGACUUCUACCCUCUGUAGGUGAAGUGAAGGCUUUAAAUUUAUUCGGACCGGAGUUCAUGCAACAGCAGGUGUGAAUAGUACCUUGUGUAGAUGUGUGCAUACUAGUUGUAUUCUAGCUAACUCAUUAAAAAUAAAAUAGUGAGGAUGCUAUGGCACAGGGCUUAGCAGUUACAUAUGUACUUGUGGAGGCAGGCAGGCUUGUGCAGCCUGUACUAAGCCCAUUCCAUGAUGUACACUUAAAGUAGCUUGCUGCAAUUGGAAUACAGAUAACCAAGAAUGUCUGUCUAUAUGGCCUUGCAUUCACAUCCCUGACUACAAUGUAGACAUAUCCUGAAGCAUUACAUGUUGCAAGAAGCUUUAGUUUCUGGGUUCUUUGCACAGGUGUUAAUGUUACCCAACCAAGCAGCUAACAGAGAGCUUGUCUUAACUUUACAGUUUAUUUCAGUUAACUAGUUCACUUUAACUGUUACUACUGUGACUUACAGGGUUGUACCUUCAUCAGCACUCUGCAUCUAAUAGUUCCCAUUUUCCUGGGUGCUAAUUAUGUCUACUU
Mauremys mutica (yellowpond turtle) is the source of this 4280-nucleotide RNA transcript. It is a transcript of the gene named ubiquitin conjugating enzyme E2 D2, with no coding region annotated. Lineage: Eukaryota; Metazoa; Chordata; Testudines; Geoemydidae. The record is from RefSeq and is a predicted model, not a curated record. The transcript has 8 exons.